ACUUCACUAGAUGUAAUCGCUAUUCCAUCAACAUCCAAGGAAGUUACAUCUGAAGAUUUUUCACAACAGACACCUAUAUCCCUUAGUGCACACAGUCCAAGAAAACAUGGGUUAAGGUUACGAAUUAGAAGUUUGAAAAGAAAGUUGGAAUUUCAUCUGAAGACUGACAAAACAAAUGUUACAAAUGAAGACUUUAUAGAUUUCUGUAAGGAACACUCCUCUUCGUCAAUGGCUAAUUUUAUUGAACUUUGCUUACAAAAUUCCUCAAGGAAAUCACAUGGAUACCGAUAUACCAACAAAUUUAAACAAUUUGCAUUAACAAUUUAUUUU
This is a long non-coding RNA of Sitophilus oryzae (rice weevil), 330 nucleotides long. RefSeq lists it as uncharacterized. NCBI's taxonomy places the organism in Eukaryota, Metazoa, Arthropoda, Insecta, Coleoptera, Curculionidae. The record is from RefSeq and is a predicted model, not a curated record. The transcript has 2 exons.